RNAcentral lists this ribosomal RNA (621 nucleotides) under uncultured fungus. Its description in RNAcentral is "LSU rRNA". It matches the Rfam family "Eukaryotic large subunit ribosomal RNA", at positions 23 to 664 of the family's 3401-position model. The record is from RNAcentral. Lineage: Eukaryota; Fungi.
ACCCGCUGAACUUAAGCAUAUCAAUAAGCGGAGGAAAAGAAACCAACAGGGAUUGCCCCAGUAACGGCGAGUGAAGCGGCAACAGCUCAAAUUUGAAAUCUGGCUCCUUCGGGGUCCGAGUUGUAAUUUGUAGAGGAUGUUUCGGCGUUGGGCCCGUGCUAGGUUCCUUGGAACAGGACGUCAUAGAGGGUGAGAACCCCGUCUUUGCUCGGGAUACCAUCGCCAUGUGAAACUCCUUCGACGAGUCGAGUUGUUUGGGAAUGCAGCUCUAAGCGGGAGGUAAAUUUCUUCUAAAGCUAAAUAACGGCCAGAGACCGAUAGCGCACAAGUAGAGUGAUCGAAAGAUGAAAAGCACUUUGGAAAGAGAGUUAAAAAGCACGUGAAAUUGUUAAAAGGGAAGCUCUUGCUACCAGACUUGGCCGCGGUUGCUCAGCCGUCCUUUUGGGCGGUGUAUUCUUCCGUGGCCAGGCCAGCAUCAGUUUAGGCGGCCGGAUAAAGACCUUUGGAAUGUAGCCUUUCGGGGUGUUAUAGCCUAGGGUGUAAUGCGGUCUGCCUGGACUGAGGACAGCGUUUUCGAGGAUGCUGGCGUAAUGGCAGCAAGCGACCCGUCUUGAAACACGG